Molecule: long non-coding RNA, 124 nt
Organism: Chiroxiphia lanceolata (lance-tailed manakin)
Lineage: Eukaryota; Metazoa; Chordata; Aves; Passeriformes; Pipridae
Exons: 2
Source: RefSeq, a predicted model, not a curated record
GACUGACCCCGUGGCUUUAAGGUCCGGCGUGCCGUGUGCCUGCGGUAUCCUGUACGAGACAAAGCUGCCUUUCCUCGUGGGAAUGGACUGGCCGGGCUUUGGCAAUCUGGCCCCUCGAAAGACU